AUUGAACGCUGGCGGCAGGCCUAACACAUGCACGUCGAACGAGUGGCGGACGGGUGAGUAAUGUCUGUGAAAUUGCCUGAUGGAGGGGGAUAACUACUGGAAACGGUAGCUAAUACCGCAUACCAUCAGAUGUGCCCAGAUGGGUUUAGCUAGUUGGUGGGGUAACGGCUCACCAAGGAGACGAUCCAUAGCUGGUCUGAGAGGAAGACCAUCCAAACUGGGACUGAGACACGGUCCAGACUCCUACGGGAGGCAGCAGUGGGGUAUAUUGCACAAUGGGCGAAAGCUUGCUGCAGCCAUGCCGCGUGUAUGAAGAAGGACUUCGGGUUGUAAAGUACUUUCAGCGGGGAGGCGUUACCCGCAGAAGAAGCACCGGCUAACUCCGUGACAGCAGCCGCUGUAAUUC
This 406-nucleotide ribosomal RNA is filed under the name uncultured bacterium. Its description in RNAcentral is "partial 16S ribosomal RNA". It matches the Rfam family "Bacterial small subunit ribosomal RNA", at positions 30 to 526 of the family's 1533-position model. The record is from RNAcentral.